Molecule: small nuclear RNA, 104 nt
Organism: Dipodomys spectabilis (banner-tailed kangaroo rat)
Lineage: Eukaryota; Metazoa; Chordata; Mammalia; Rodentia; Heteromyidae
Source: RefSeq, a predicted model, not a curated record
GUGCUUGCUUUGGCAGCAUGCAUACUAAAAUUGGACACACACAGAGAUUAGCAUGGCCUCUGUGCAGAGACGGCACAGAAAUUCAUGAAGCUUUCUGUAUUUUU